This 23-nucleotide non-coding RNA is filed under the name Arabidopsis thaliana (thale cress). Lineage: Eukaryota; Viridiplantae; Streptophyta; Magnoliopsida; Brassicales; Brassicaceae. The record is from RNAcentral.
CCAUCGCUAGUUGCUCCUCCAAA